UCACUCCUUACAGAGGCAGUCUUCUUAGAGUCCCCGCCAUCACGCGCUGGCAACUAAGAACAGGGGUUGCGCUCGUUGCGGGACUUAACCCAACACCUCACGGCACGAGCUGACGACAACCAUGCAGCACCUUGCUAACUUUCCUUGCGGACUAUAAACUUUCAUCUAUAUUAACUUAGCAUUCGAGCCUAGGUAAGGUUCCUCGCGUAUCAUCGAAUUAAACCACAUACUCCACCGCUUGUGCGGACCCCCGUCAAUUCCUUUGAGUUUCACCCUUGCGGGCGUACUCCCCAGGUGGCUUACUUAAUGGUUUCCCUUAGAUGCUGAUUCAAUCCAAACCAACAUCCAGUAAGCAUCGUUUAGGGCGUGGACUAC
This 375-nucleotide unclassified non-coding RNA is filed under the name uncultured Chitinophagales bacterium. RNAcentral's name for it is "contains 16S-23S intergenic spacer region". Lineage: Bacteria; Pseudomonadati; Bacteroidota; Chitinophagia; Chitinophagales. The record is from RNAcentral.